Molecule: ribosomal RNA, 253 nt
Filed under: uncultured bacterium
Lineage: Bacteria
Description: partial 16S ribosomal RNA
Rfam family: Bacterial small subunit ribosomal RNA
Source: RNAcentral
UACGUAGGGGGCAAGCGUUGUCCGGAAUCAUUGGGCGUAAAGCGCGCGCAGGCGGCGAUCUACGUCCGGGGUGAAAGCCCAGAGCUCAACUCUGGGACUGCCUUGGAUACGGGAUCGCUUGAGGAUCGGAGAGGCAAGGGGAAUUCCACGUGUAGCGGUGAAAUGCGUAGAGAUGUGGAGGAACACCUGUGGCGAAGGCGCCUUGCUGGCCGAUUUCUGACGCUGAGGCGCGAAAGCGUGGGGAGCAAACAGG